GGGUUGUGAGGUUAAGCGACUAAGCGUACACGGUGGAUGCCCUGGCAGUCAGAGGCGAUGAAGGGCGUACUAAUCUGCGAUAAGCGCCGGUAAGGUGAUAUGAACCGUUAUAACCGGCGAUACCCGAAUGGGGAAACCCAGUGUGAUUCGUCACACUAUCAUUAACUGAAUCCAUAGGUUAAUGAGGCGAACCGGGGGAACUGAAACAUCUAAGUACCCCGAGGAAAAGAAAUCAACCGAGAUUCCCCCAGUAGCGGCGAGCGAACGGGGAGGAGCCCAGAGCCUGAAUCAGCAUGUGUGUUAGUGGAAGCGUCUGGAAAGGCGCGCGAUACAGGGUGACAGCCCCGUACACAAAAGCGCAUGUGCUGUGAGCUCGAUGAGUAGGGCGGGACACGUGGUAUCCUGUCUGAAUAUGGGGGGACCAUCCUCCAAGGCUAAAUACUCCUGACUGACCGAUAGUGAACCAGUACCGUGAGGGAAAGGCGAAAAGAACCCCGGCGAGGGGAGUGAAAAAGAACCUGAAACCGUGUACGUACAAGCAGUGGGAGCCCCACCACCAAAGCAUUUGCUGUACCGCGUUGACGGAGCGAAGCGACGUCAAACC
This 604-nucleotide ribosomal RNA is filed under the name Salmonella enterica subsp. enterica serovar Enteritidis. RNAcentral describes it as "partial 23S ribosomal RNA". It matches the Rfam family "Bacterial large subunit ribosomal RNA", at positions 1 to 589 of the family's 2925-position model. The record is from RNAcentral. Lineage: Bacteria; Pseudomonadati; Pseudomonadota; Gammaproteobacteria; Enterobacterales; Enterobacteriaceae.